CUUACAACCGUCUAUAACUCCAGUUCCAGACAAUUUGAAGUCCUCUUCUGGUCUCCCUGCAGCACAAUUCACAUGUGGCUCACACAGACACACAUGCAGGCAAACACACACAGGAAACAAGGACAACUUUUUUAGGCACCCAUUCUUUUAGAAGAUGUGGGUCCUAGGGAUCGAACUCAGGUCCUUAGGAUUAAGGGCAAGUGCUUUAACCCACUGAGCCAUCUUGCUGGUCCACAUUUUGUUGUAACUUACAUUUACUUAAGUAUCUGUGUGCUGCAGCGCACAGCUGUAAAGAUCAGAGAACUUACAAAGAGUUUGAUUUCUUCUUUCACUAUGUGGGUCCUGAAGAUGAAAUCCAAGUAGGUCAUCCAGAUUUGGCAGUAAACACUUGUACCUGCUGACCCAUCUCACUGUACCUGUUCUGUUUAUUUCGUCUGUGUGAGGGUUUUGCCCGCAUGUAUUUGUUCAUAAGUUAUUAUCUUACUUUGCGUUUUCUCUGUUUUUAGUUUUGUUUUUUUCUUUUCUUCUUUUCUCGGUUUUCAGUAAACUGCCAUAUUAUCCUCUACCUUUAUCCCCUUUUUCCUUUCUGGUUUGAAGAUUAAAUUCCUCUUCUUAUAAUAAGUAUCUUAAAUUGUUAGCAUACCUGCAUUUUCCUAUUGAAACCUGGGUUUGAAAAUGACAGAAGCCUGGUAUAACUUAAUAAUUAAAUUCCCUGUCUUUUUUCACUCCUCAUCUCUCUGGUUGAUGUACUUAACAAUUCUGGCGCUCUCUCUCUGUCUCUGUCUCUUUGGAAUUAUAAAUUUAAUUUGAAUAGGAAAGGCAGCUCAAGGGCUGGUGAGAUGGCUCAGUGAUUAAGAGUGCCAACUGCUCUUCCGAAGGUCCCGAGUUCAAAUCCCAGCAACCACAUGGUGGUUCACAACCAUCCGUAACGAAAUCUGAUGCCCUCUUCUGGGGUAUCUGAGGAUAGCUACAGUGUACUUACAUAUAAAUAAAUAAAUCUUAAAAAAAAAAAAAAGGAAGACAGCUCAAUCAGUUAGUUCUUUCCCAAAAAGGAUAAGGCCCUGAGCUUGAGUUCCUGAAACCACAUAUUAAAAAACCCUGGCGCAGUAGCAAACACUUGAAAUCCCAGUGCUGGGGAAGACAGAUCCAGAGCCUCUUAGCGUAUAAGAGACCUUGUCUCAAAAACACAGAAGAUGUUUCCCGAAGAACAUUCCGUGAGGCUCUCCUCUGGCCUCCACACAAAUUCAUUCCCACUCUACCCCAUCCUCACCCACACCCCCGCUGUGUAUUUACCAUCUGUGGCACACACUACUGAUCACCCAUUAACCCCCAUUAACUGUGCCUCCCUUCCUUCCCUGCCAACAGAGUCCUGACCUGUUUAGGAAGCUGAGACCUAGACCCAAGAAAUGAAGCAAGACCGACCAAAGCCAACCAUAGCCAGUCUCUCUUUUUUCCCCUUAAACAAGGCACUGGUAUAAAAUGUAGGCCAAUAUAACUUAAAGAAUGAAGGAGCUAUCUCUUAGGGCUAUCUGGGAACUGAACUCUGGCCCUCUGUGAGAAAAGUCCACUCUGAAUGGUAAGGUUCCCCACAAGCAUCUCUUUCAAGCAUGCUGAUGACAGCAGGAUUGCCUUCUUGCCUUUAUUUAUCUAGGGUGGGGGCGGGGUCUUCCCAUGUAUCCUGGCAGGCUUUGGACUCAGUAUCUUCCUGUUCAGUCUCCAAGAGCUAACAUUAACAUUCACACCGCGAUCUGCUGCUCUUCUUGGGAACAUUAAAAAGUAAGACUGGGGCUCGGUAGAUGACCAAAGGACUUGAGAAGACCCAAACAGGCCUUUCUGCAAGAGCAUCCAUAUGGCUGCCACUUCCAGGGAUGUGACAUUCUCUUCCGACUAUGUACCCGGGAGCGCGCACACACAUGCACACACCCCGCCCAGGCACACCUACAAUUUUUAAAGUAAAUGUGGCCAUACUGAAUGAAUCUCCUCUUCCUGCUUUUAACUGGCUAAAAAGGGUGCCAUACUGAGCCUGGCUCAUUAGGGCUGCCAGGUACUGGUGCUAGUGCCGACAACACCCAGCUCCGGAGACACCGCCUUUGCUCAGGUAACUUCCCUUUGUUACUGCUGACCACACUUGACUUCCAAGUAACUAUAAACACAGUCUCUCGCCUCUCCGGACCUCUCUCUUUCCUUCUGCUUUUUACUGAGUCUCUCCUUGCGUUCUGAAGGGUCUGGCCUCUGCUUCUUCUUUCUGUGCACCCUGUCUUUUCCAGGCCAAGAGCCUGCAUUCCUGUGGCAUGCCUACACAACACUUCAGUCUUUAGCCAUCACCUCUUGCAUGAGGCCAAGGUCACACUCGUGAUCAUAAACAGCAUCCAGAGAUCUCAAAACCAGGCUUGUGUCCAAUCAUACCUCACCCUCUUGGGAUAUGAACUCAUUUGAAUCACAAGUGAUAUCUAGCCCACAUUUAUUGAGUCUAAACUAGAACUACAAGAGAGAGAGAGAGAGAGAGAAAGCUAGUUACACCUCUCUCACUUAAAAUAUAAAAUCUAUGGCCUGAACUAUAGUCAGUCUCAGGCCAGUCUGAGCUACAGUGAGACUCCAUCUCAAAAUUAAAUAUAUUAACUUAAAGGCAUAGUAACUGUAUUACUUAAUCCACCAUCUCUUCCUACUGUGUGACCCAGUAUAGUCGUAGACAGAUCAGGCAUUAAGGCGGCUAGAGAGAGAGGUAACUGUUAAGAGCACUGGUUGCUCUUCUAGAGUACUUAGGUUCGGUUCACAACCCUCCGUAACUCCAGUUCCAGGGAUCUAGUGGUCCCAGCACAGCACACAUGUGAUACAGACACACAGGCAAAAUACCCAUACAGAUUAAAAAAAAAUAUUAGAAUAGGCAUCAAUAAAUGUUUACCCAACUAUCUAUCAUCUCUGUAUAAAAAACCUUACACUACAAGAAUCAGAAAAACACUGACUACAAAAAGUUUUGAAACCUUAUUUGGAGGUAGGGCUUUGUCACCAAGGACGCUCCUGAAUUGCUCAGCCUCCUGCUUCUCCUUCCCAAGUGCUGGGACUACAAGGAGGGCUAAGACACUUGUGGAUUUAUAUAUGCCAAACGAGUCCUCUAUCAACCUAAGGACACCCCAAUUACACCCCAUUUUUAGUUGCUGAAACAAAGUCUCAUGGUGGCCUAGAACUUACUAUGUAGUUGAGGUUAACCCUGAAAUCCUAGGAUCACAGGCAUGUGCUGGCAGGUCCAUCUGAAAUAUUCUUGUAAGUAGGAAGAUACGAAUGGAUAAUUACACUCUGCCUCGCACUCGUGUGUCCCCAGAAUACAGAAGGAAGAGUUUUCUCUAAUUGUUUUUAAUCACUUGGUAGUAGGGAGAUACACAUGCUAACCAUAGCAUCUAGCUAUCGGCAGCAGCUUUUCCCCCAACAAUUAAGACUAAGUUGCCCAGGAAUGCUUCAAACUCAGGUCCUUCUGCCUAAGUCUCUUGAGGAGCUGGCAUUAAAAAGAGAUGGCUCCUCUAUCCACUUAAGCUCAAAGCCUUCCAACCUAGCAACAUCUGAAUCCACAUUCUGACAUUGCCACUGGUCCCCCACGUAACCAUUUGACCUCUCUGAUCUCGACCCUUGUCUAUAAGGUGAGACUGUCAUCCUUUCAAAGGAUGUCCUGAAACUAUCAGAAGCCCAAGGCUCCCAGUACACCAACUGCCAUCCUGGGUGGAGCAAACUGAGGACCACAGUUCAUCUAGCUUCAACUCAACGUGGAGAAUUCCUAGCCUGUAUCCCCACAGCCCUGGAGAGCAUCCUGAGGCAUAAGCCCUGCACAUAACCCACUAGUUGACCCCACGCCAGGUCAAUCAGCUCUCCAACCCUGAGAACAAUCUCCCCCGGGGGAAGCAGUCUUGCUUCCCAGCCCCCAGCUCUGACCAAUCACAGGCACUGUUACCCCUUGGUGAUAGGUACGGGCUUCCAGGAACACAGAGAUCUCAGAGGCAGAUAUGCCUUGGUGGACCCUUACUCCUACAUAGAACAGAAGCCAUAUGCUCACUGUGGGGCAGAUUGUCAGCUCUUAGCCCAGCUGCCACAGAGAUCCUACAUAGCUCCCCCGAGACCCAUCUCACGCCUGUAGCUCUCUAGUCAUUAAGUCAACAGUAGGAUUCUAGGAAAGCCAGGAGGGUUUCCCGUGAGGUCAUGAGGAGACAUGAGGAGAACCAGAGGAUGCAUAGAAACUUUAAAGGGAGGAGAGAGGGAGAAAUCACAUAAGACAGGACACAAUCAGAGUAUGGCGGUAGACUGAAGGAGAGAAAUCCAAGGCUCUCGGGAGGGUUUUUAGAAGAAGUAGAAAUUAAGCUGAAGAAAUGCUAGCGGAAGAAAAGCCAGACAGAAGCUUGCGUGGCCCAGACUUGAGGUUUUCAUCUGCAACCUGAGCUUUCUCUUCAUUUCUUUUCUUUUCUUCUUUUUUUUUUUUU
This is a long non-coding RNA of Mus musculus (house mouse), 4463 nucleotides long. RefSeq annotates it as predicted gene, 39251. The transcript has 3 exons. Lineage: Eukaryota; Metazoa; Chordata; Mammalia; Rodentia; Muridae. The record is from RefSeq and is a predicted model, not a curated record.